Long non-coding RNA from Triticum aestivum (bread wheat), 2121 nucleotides. RefSeq lists it as uncharacterized. The transcript is spliced from 2 exons. The record is from RefSeq and is a predicted model, not a curated record. NCBI's taxonomy places the organism in Eukaryota, Viridiplantae, Streptophyta, Magnoliopsida, Poales, Poaceae.
UUUCUGGUCUUUGCUUGCCAGAGACAACAUCUUAUCUUCUUCAAUUCUCUUGAAACAGUAUGUCACAAUACACUAUCUUUUCCCAAGUAGUUACCCGAGGUGGAACUUUACCCAUGUGAAGAGCACAAAAUGCUUACAUAUAGUAUCGAGAUGUGUAUCUUUCUUAAGCUUCACAAUCAUCUUAAAAUGCGAAGUGCUAUAUGCAUACACUCAACCCCUGUAUUUUAAGACUGUCUUGAUGCACCACAGAAGUUUAGAGGGAGGGAAUCCCUAUUGUGUACUGUCACAAGAUACAUUGUCAAAUAAAAAUCUUGGACCAAGUCAGUGUUUGUUUUUCAAGUACUCUGCCGUUCAACCUAAUUACCAAGCAUUUGAAAGAAUAUUGGUUCGUGGUCAGGAUGGGUAUUACACUCUGCAAGAGCGAACCUCUGGGCAGCCUCUCGAGCAUGCCACGUAGGAUUUGUACAGCGCACGCGUAUAGGACAGAGAGAAAAAAGUGUAUUGGCUAGGACAAACUAUCCCAGGUCUUCCUUUCCCAGAUGCUGCUGUCCCUGACUCAAGCCAGCGACUGAAUGCUUGAUUUUAUCUACCCACAAAGCCAAUCCAUGAUCCCCUCUCUCUCUCUCUUCCACUCUUCUUGCCUUCAUCACGAAGGCUGCUCUCAUCAACGACCAUGGGUAAGCCAAGGAGCUCACGUAUUGCUCUCGCGACCGGUGCUGGCGGGGCUACGCGCUUCGAUUGGGCGACGGACGGCCCCGUCUUGGUCUCGCGCCGCCAUCGAUCCGCCCUUCUCGUUCGCCGCGCGCCCGCGCCCUAUGCUAGCAGGUGGGUGGGGGAGGACGAGGUCGCUGCGGUUGUCGGCGCCUCCUCUGUCGCCGGAGGCCAUGGACUCUCCGUCUCUCCCCAUCAACCGCAUAAUCCGCCUCUGCUGUUGUUUUCAUCGGGUGUGAGGUGAGUCUCAGUUUCUAUUUCUGUCGAUUAGUAUUUUUUUUGUUAGAUAUUCACAGAAAUUAAGGGAGUAUCUGUGGUCAAAAGAUUUUAGGUAUCUACACUCCAAUGCUUAUUUCAGGAUCGUGUGAAGGUGAGAAGCCUAUUCAAACUGGCAUAUCAUGGCCAACCUGUUUUGUUUAGCGCAAUCCCCUAGGCUGCACACGAGCUUGCCUUGGCUAUCUGUGGUUGGUUCCGUAGUGUAUUUGAGGUUAUGCCCAUGUUUAGAGUCGAAGAUUCCAAUACACGUAGGCAUCUGUGUGAGUUUGUAUGGGUCACUAUUUUGGGGUGAAGAAGAUUGAUAGGGUAUAGUUCAUCUGCAAAACAGUGACUAUGAAUUUGUUUCUCUAUAAAGGUUUGCGAUAUUAUAGAUGGAUUAUUCAUUGAAUUAUUUAGACCGUUUACUGGAAAUUGCAAGAACGAACUUGAGACAAUUAAUAAAGCAGUAUCCAUUUGAGCAACUGAAGGUAAAAUAUUCCUGCUUGGUUAUUCCAGUUAUGUUACAAUAUUUGAGUUUUGUGGCUCAAGAUGUUGAUUCACAUUGUCUUAAUUCCUGCAUAUUGGUUUCUUUAUACCCCUUGACAUGGAGAUCCAGGAAGGAGGGAAGGAGGCGAGUCUCUCCCACGGCGUCGCUGUCAAGGAGCAGUAAGGGACCUCCCUGUCUAUAAGCAUCGUCGCGAGGAGGACAAAAGAACAUGCCCGUGGUCAUCUACCUAGCAUUUGAUCAAGCGAAUGAAACUGUGAGACUCAGUAUGCCAAUGUUGAAGUGACCAAACACCUGACCGUAAAAUGGCACAUGUACAUCUAGCUCUUUAUUCUAUCACUUUGAUUUGUGGAAGCCACUAAGUUGCUGCUGUAGGGAUGCAUAAUCAGAUGAAGGGAGAGGAGGAAGAGCUCAAGAAGAUUAAUAUAUUUCUAUAUUAUUCCACAUAUAUGAGUUUGUGUGACGUUACUUUCAAUUACUAAAGAUGGUCUUCUUUGAUGGUUUAUAUCUGCUUCAUACUUUCUGUUAUGUUUCUGUGUCAAUAAAUACACCACCUGUUUGUAUCAAAAUAGAGGGAUAUUUGCAGGCUUCAAUGGAAGGGUGUUGUAAGAGAUCAGAAACUUAUUUAGUUAAUCAUAUUAUGUGGUACA